This is a long non-coding RNA of Homo sapiens (human), 556 nucleotides long. NCBI's taxonomy places the organism in Eukaryota, Metazoa, Chordata, Mammalia, Primates, Hominidae. The record is from Ensembl.
AUGCUGUGUCCCUGCAUACAGGAGUCGACCUUUGAGACCUGCUUGUUCAUGGCUGUUUCACAGAUGUCGAAGUGGAGGCUCAGCAGGGUUGGAGGUUCCCGGAGUCUCCCAGCUGAAAUGGAAGUGCUUGGUGAGGUUUGGUGUGUCCGAGCCGAAGAGCAGCCAAUGACAGGCCUGGGGAUCGUCUGGCACAGCCCACUUCUUGACAAGGCCUUGGAAACUUGGUCUCUGCAGCAGCAACCGGAUUUCAGCCUGGGCCUCGGACACCUCGGCCUGGGACUGUACAUCUUGGCCUCUUACCUACUGUGUCCGCGUCAGCCUCCCUCACAGCCUGAUGGCCCCUGCGGCAGCCCCAACCCGGUUUCAGGGGCUAAGAAAACUACAGUUGCAUGAACGGGUGGAGGUGAGUGGGAGGCAGAAGCGGCGGGGAGAACCAGUCUGUUCCGAGAUCUCUGGACCAACCAGUGGAUCCUGAUGGUCAGCCUUGUCUAGAGCCCCUUCCAGCGUGCAGGCCAGUCCUCCUGGCAUUCUUCUAAUUACACCGAGCUGUGAGUUA